This 1415-nucleotide small RNA is filed under the name Histoplasma capsulatum var. duboisii H88. Its description in RNAcentral is "Histoplasma capsulatum H88 hypothetical RNA". Lineage: Eukaryota; Fungi; Ascomycota; Eurotiomycetes; Onygenales; Ajellomycetaceae. The record is from RNAcentral.
AAGGAAUUUGCGAAGCAGAGCCUUGAUAUCACUCUCAUUUGUUCAAGAGGCGUGGUCGUUUGCAUGGUGGGACUGGGGAUGGUUCACACGCUACUGCAAUCAAUUACUCAUAUUUUGUCACGGGUCCGUGGAUGCAACCUUCGUCCUGAGACUUCAUGGUGUGAAAAGCAUAAUAUUUCCCCUUUCGCUAAUGGGUGAUGUAACAGCUUUUAAUAUUUCUUUCAAGGCACUUCUGGAAUUGUCACAGGAAGUUGUCCACCUCACUCUGACAGCAUUGGACGAGUCAGGAGGCGACGUUAUUGUCGGUUUUGGGCCCCAACACAGGACAUGACCUAAAUCCCUCCCAAAGGUGUUAUUUUCUUUUGAGGGGGUGGGCUAAAAGAAUCCGGGAUCAUAGUAUCCUCUGAGCUGCAUCGCGGCCUAAAUUUGCGGAGGCCAAGCAAAACUUGGUGCCAACAAGGGCUAUGCUUCUAGAAGCCAACCCCCCUUCCCUCAGCAGGAAAUCCCCUGUUGGUCAGAAUUGCAACAAAUGUCACAAUACUGUCGAUUCCGGGAAGCGGAUCCAUUGAUUCAGCGUUCAAGCUUUUCGAUAGCCUUUUAAUAGAAGGACACAUUCCUCAUCCUUCUUUGUUUCAAAGGAUUCUUUUAACCAUUUUUGGGACCAUGGAUUCACUUUCGAGCAAUCAGGGUGAAGCAAAAAAUGCCGGUUAAAAGGACGUGUCUAAAAAGUCUCCGAAACUAACUUUUAGAGCACAACAGGGAUGGAAGCAGAAGGACGAGAUCAAUUGACCGUGUGAUAGUAAGCCACUGCUGGCACAUUUUUUGAUACUAUUUUACGCAGGAUUUUUUCUCCUCAGGCGUCAUAAACGGGAGCCUCGGUAUUGCAUGGUUUUGAUUGUUUAUUGGAUGGCAUGGACCUUAAACGAUACUCAACUUACUACCAGCCUGUUUGUCAUGGAUCACGCAUUAUCAAGAAUUUGCAAGCACAGAUGCAUCGUACCUGAAGCUAUAAAUACCCAUGUUUUUUAAGCGUCUAUCCCUGCGGUGUCAAGAGUCUCAUCUUCUCGUUCUGGAAGGCGAUCCUAACACGCUGAUUCGCUGACACAGUAGUUUCAUUUUAGAUCUAUUUUUUUUAAAGCUAUCGCGGUGCAAGAGAUCGCGGAGCGUUUCAUUACUCUUCAAACGAGCCCAUGAGCCAUGCCCCGCCGCGAAACAAGAAGAUGUAAGAAAUGCCAAGAGAUGCUUCCUAUUUUCUGCGGCAACGAUCAAUUCCCAGAUUGGGGGUGGCUUGUGCUAAAAUGAUGGCAAAAGCUGAUGAUGAGCGCAGCAUCUCAGCUCAGCUAUUUGGUUCAGUUAGUUGCCUAGACGUUUCUGCAAAGUAAAAUCCAAGUUGUCAAGAAGUGAUCAGAGAGUCA